Cyclopterus lumpus (lumpfish) is the source of this 726-nucleotide long non-coding RNA. RefSeq lists it as uncharacterized. NCBI's taxonomy places the organism in Eukaryota, Metazoa, Chordata, Actinopteri, Perciformes, Cyclopteridae. The transcript has 2 exons. The record is from RefSeq and is a predicted model, not a curated record.
AACAGGAUUAAAGAAGAAGAAGAAGCAGCAGCUGCGGAUUCUGAACAGAGCUCUCUUGCCGUGCCUGAUUGGACGGCUUCCUGAUUGAACCGCUUCCUGGUUGGACGGCGUCACCAUGUCAUCAAACAUCCACGUCUCCCCUGACAACCCGUACGGUCAGGUGACCAUCCCCCGGGCCAAGCUCCGCCUCACCGAUGACGCCGGCAUGGUGAUAGCCAAUCCGGGGGCUCUGAGCAGCAACGACUUGAACCCAUACGUGUCAAGCUCCUCCCCCCCGCCGUACGUGGUGAAGGAGGCUGGCGGGGAGGAGGUGGGGGGGCGGUGCCCCGCCUGCUGCUACCGCUGCCGAAGGAGGAAGUGAUGUCGCAGCAGCAGGAGCAAGUGACGUCACAGCAGCAAGAGCAAGUGACGUCACAGCAGCAAGAGGAUUGUGAUUGGCUUCAUUUACCAAAGAAGAAACGGUGCUUUCCAUUAUGCUAACGUUUCUCCUCGAGUCCUAGCGCCUCCCAGCGAGGAUGUGAGGAAGAGGAAGGGAGGACGAAGGAGCCGUAAUCCUUGUUUCUGUAGCGCGUGUGGAGCUGUGGCGUUUAUACAUGACCUCCGUGAAGGACACACCUGUGCUUCCUCGCCCUUAGCUCCUCCUCAUCGAUUGGAGGAUCCUCGAUGGCGGCGGCGGGUCACGUGAUGAAGUUAAAGUUAGCGUAAUGAAAAGCAUCCACGCAGGAA